CACGUAGGGGGCGAGCGUUGUCCGGAUUUAUUGGGCGUAAAGAGCUCGUAGGCGGUUUCGUAAGUCGGAUGUGAAAUCUCCCGGCUCAACUGGGAGGGGUCAUUCGAUACUGGCGGGCUCGAGGCCGGUAGGGGGAAGUGGAAUUCCCGGUGUAGUGGUGGAAUGCGUAGAUAUCGGGAGGAACACCAGUGGCGAAGGCGGCUUCCUGGACCGGUUCUGACACUGAGGAGCGAAAGCGUGGGGAGCGAUCCGG
This 253-nucleotide ribosomal RNA is filed under the name uncultured bacterium. RNAcentral's name for it is "partial 16S ribosomal RNA". It matches the Rfam family "Bacterial small subunit ribosomal RNA", at positions 524 to 776 of the family's 1533-position model. The record is from RNAcentral.